This is a long non-coding RNA of Vombatus ursinus (common wombat), 260 nucleotides long. RefSeq lists it as uncharacterized. The transcript has 3 exons. The record is from RefSeq and is a predicted model, not a curated record. NCBI's taxonomy places the organism in Eukaryota, Metazoa, Chordata, Mammalia, Diprotodontia, Vombatidae.
AGUACACUGAGAGGUGGCAACAGAGGGAGUGCCUAGAAGUAGCAAUGUGAAGCGAGGGCCAUUCUGACUCUCUACGGACAGUGAAUUAAGAGAUGCAACUUGUCCUGGCUGCCCAACCAAACAAAAGAGGCUGCACCUACCCACAUGGCAAGGAGAAGUUUUCAUGUGCUUGGAGUAAAAAUUCCCUACCUCACCAAUAGGUUCGAGGCCCUUCUGCCAAGACAGCUUUACCAGGAUAUGGCUGCCGCACUUGCUUCAGC